Molecule: long non-coding RNA, 1064 nt
Filed under: Carica papaya (papaya)
Lineage: Eukaryota; Viridiplantae; Streptophyta; Magnoliopsida; Brassicales; Caricaceae
Description: long non-coding RNA (CPAP_LNC015026)
Source: RNAcentral
GGGGGGGGGCCACGUCAGCAGCCGCGUCAGCAGCCACGUCAGCAGUCCCGGCCAACCAGGGCCUGCCACGUGGCAAGAUCGCGUCACUCCGAAAGGAGCCACGUUGGCGAUCCGCGUGGGUGCGAUCCGACGGCCCAGAUCAAUCACGCGAUCGGACGGCCCAGAUUCAAUCGCACGGACGGCCCAGAUUCAAUCAAAAACGAACGGCCCAGAUUAAAACAAAAUGAACGGCUGUGAUCAAAAGGCAAGGGGUUAUAAAUAGAACCCCCACACCAGACCACAAACCCUAGCCGCCAGCCGCUCGCCGGAGAAGACGAACCAGAGGCCGACCGCCGCCACCCGCCGCCGCUCGCCGCCGCACCGGGGAAAUUUCCGACCGCCGAUCGAGGUAAAUUUCAUACCCCCGACUCGUUUUUCCCCACUGAUCCCUCCUAUGGCCAAAUCGAAGCCGAAAUCCCGGCCAAACGGCCGGAAUACGCGGCCGAAGCCCAGCGGCGCCGCCGCGCCCCCUCUCGGUUUUUGCCUCCGACGAGGCCCUUCCCGGUCUCCGUUCGAUGCAAUUUUUAUAUCACCGUGAUCACCAUUCUUUUCUCUACAGGUUGACCGGAGCCGAAUCACCAAAACACGAACCUCGCCGGAGAGCCGCUGCACCCGAGAGCGCCGCCGCCGGUAAGCUCCGUUUUUCCGUGAUUUUUUGGCCCCCCGAGGGCCCUAAGGUUCUUUUCUGACAAGGACCAAUGCGAGUGUGGCCGAAUUCGGCCGAAAACGGCCGAAAACAGCCAACCCGAGGCGACUCGCCGCCGCCAGCGGCGGCGCCGUCGCCGGAGCACGGCGGAGCCGCCGUGCCGGAGUUGCGAUUUGGGCCGAAAGAGGCCCUGGGCCUAAUUUGGAUUUUUUUGGAACACGUGCAGGUACGGUUAGUGUGUUUCAGUUUCCCGGGGAAAAACUCAGGGAAAAUUAGGGACGGCCUGCAGGCGCACUGUGAAUCGUAUUCGGAUCCCGAAAACAAGUAAGGACCCCUCACCCUAUUUCCUAUCACGGUAUUAAAGUUCAAAAUGAUAAAA